CAUAUGCUUGUCUCAAAGAUUAAGCCAUGCAUGUCUGAGUACAGACCGAUCUAAGGUGAAACCGCGAAUGGCUCAUUAAAUCAGUCAUAAUUCCUUGGAUAGUGAAAAACUUUCCUCGGAUAACUGUGGAAAAUCCAGAGCUAAUACGUGCAACUGAGCUCCGACCUCGACUUGAGUCGUGGGAAGAGCGCAUUUAUUAGAUUCAAAACUGACCGGUGUACUCCUUCGGGAUAUGCCGUCCGUCAAAAGUUUGAUGACUCCGGAUAACUUAGCCGAGCGCUACGGUCUUUAGUACCGGCGCCGUAUCUUUCAAGUGUCUGCCUUAUCAGCUUUCGAUUGUAGGUUAAACGCCUACAAUGGCUGUAACGGGUAACGGGGAAUCAGGGUUCGAUUCCGGAGAGGGAGCCUGAGAAACGGCUACCACAUCUAAGGAAGGCAGCAGGCACGCAAAUUACCCACUCCCAGCCCGGGGAGGUAGUGACGAAAAAUAACGAUGCGAGACUCUUCCGAGGCCUCGCAAUCGGAAUGAGUCCAUUUUAAAUCCUUGGACGAGGAUCCAUUGGAGGGCAAGUCUGGUGCCAGCAGCCGCGGUAAUUCCAGCUCCAAUAGCGUAUAUUAAAGUUGCUGCGGUUAAAAAGCUCGUAGUUGGACUUUCUAGAUCCAUUUCGUGGGUGAGUCGCUCUUUGUACUAGCGUCUUGCGCGGUUCCUCGAUGAUGUCGUUUGGCGAAUUCUCUAGGUUUCGGCUUCACGGUCGAUUUCUCGGAGGUUCCCGGCGUUUCAGAAUCUUGCGGGCGGCGAGGCGUUGUCUUAGAGUAUAGCUCGUCCGCGUUUGGUACAAUUAAAAUUUUGUCGGCUCGCUCGGAGUGCUCUUCACCGAGUGUUCCAGGGUGGCUGACACGUUCACUUUGAAAAAAUUAGAGUGCUUAAAGCGGGCUUAUUUACGGCCUGAAUGUCUGUGCAUGGAAUGAAGUAACAGGACCUCGAUUCUGUUGUUUUUGUCGGUUUUAAUGAACCGAGGUAAUGAUUAAAAGGGACAGACGGUGGCAUUAGUAUUGCGGCGCUAGAGGUGAAAUUCUUGGACCGUCGCAAGACUAACUACUGCGAAAGCAUUUGCCGAGAAUGUUUUCAUUAAUCAAGAACGAAAGUUAGAGGAUCGAAGGCGAUCAGAUACCGCCCUAGUUCUAACCCUAAACUAUGCUAACUAGCGAUCCGCCGGAGUCAUUCCCACGACCCGGCGGGAAGCCCCAGGGAAACCAAAGUCUUUGAGUUCCGGGGGAAGUAUGGUUGCAAAUCUGAAACUUAAAGGAAUUGACGGAAGGGCACCACCAGGAGUGGAGCCUGCGGCUUAAUUUGACUCAACACGGGAAACCUCACCAGGCCCGGACAUCAUAAGGAUUGACAGGUUGAGAGCUCUUUCUCGAUKUGAUGGGUGGUGGUGCAUGGCCGUUCUUAGUUGGUGGAGUGAUCUGUCUGGUUGAUUCCGAUAACGAACGAGACUCUACCCUACUAACUAGUCGGCGGAUCGUAACCCUGAGAUGGUUAGUAUGUAUAGGAGAGUUUUGCGUAGGGGGAGACCGUUAUCGAUAAGCUCAUAUCCGUUCAUUAGCUAUUAGCGAAGGGUGCGGUGUGAGUGGACGGUUCCGGUUCUUCGCCGAAGCGACUCUCUCUGAUUACUACUACUGCUGGGGGCGUCCGUCGCAAUGUAUCUUCUUAGAGGGAUCAGCGGCGUAUAGCCGCACGAGAAAGAGCAAUAACAGGUCUGUGAUGCCCUUAGAUGUUCUGGGCCGCACGCGCGCUACAAUGUAGGGCUCAGCGUGCUUUCCCUCUCCGAAAGGAGCGGGUAACCCGUUGAAACCCCUACCCGAUUGGGAUUGGGGAUUGCAAUUAUUUCCCAUAAACGAGGAAUUCCCAGUAAGCGCGAAUCAUUAAUUCGCGCUGAUUACGUCCCUGCCCUUUGUACACACCGCCCGUCGCUACUACCGAUUGAAUGAUUCAGUGAGGGCAUCGGACUGGCCCUUCGGUUUAGUAACCUAGACCUUAGGCUGACGGAAAGAUGUCCGAACUUGAUCAUUUAGAGGAAGUAAAAGUCGUAACAAGGUUUC
Molecule: ribosomal RNA, 2103 nt
Filed under: Prochelator sp.
Lineage: Eukaryota; Metazoa; Arthropoda; Malacostraca; Isopoda; Desmosomatidae
Description: SSU rRNA
Source: RNAcentral